AGGGACGAAGGCUGCUAAGUGUUGCUAGCUGGUGUCUAAGUAAAUGAAGAUGAAAGAGGAAGCCAGAGAGAGCAGGAAUUAGAAAACCUGUACAACUGGGAGACUUUCUGUCUCAGAAGAAGCUCUGACUCCACCAGAUAACCAACCAGCUCUAAGAAUGAACCUCCACAUCGUCUUCAUGAUGUAAGUUUGUUUUUUCAAUGAGGAGGUAGCUACAUUUUCAAC
Poecilia reticulata (guppy) is the source of this 225-nucleotide non-coding RNA. Lineage: Eukaryota; Metazoa; Chordata; Actinopteri; Cyprinodontiformes; Poeciliidae. The record is from RefSeq and is a predicted model, not a curated record.